This 914-nucleotide long non-coding RNA is filed under the name Helianthus annuus (common sunflower). Its description in RNAcentral is "hypothetical non coding rna". The record is from RNAcentral. Lineage: Eukaryota; Viridiplantae; Streptophyta; Magnoliopsida; Asterales; Asteraceae.
GGGUUUGAUAAUCAAACAAUUUGCUCUAUUCCGGCGAUAUUUCGGCAAUAUCACAAUCCCGAUCAGUUUCCGAAACCCUAGGAUUGCAGUGUCUGUGCACGAAGAUACAACUUGUUGUUUGAUUUUCAGAAUGUACGAUUCAGUUUCUCUAUGUUGAAACUCUUAUGAGAUGCACCACCCAGCAAAUACGUGACUAAUGAAUGUGAUGGGGUUUUCUUUGCAUGUUCAUGUGCCGAAUUUUGAAAACCCAAAGGUUGUCAAUUCUGGAGAGAUACCCAACCCAUAACUCGAGAUGAUUGGCACAUUGGUUGGAAAGAAGUAUGCAUUUAUCAUAAAUGUUACCGACUAUAACAUUGAGCAUCAAGUUGAAAACUAUGGUAUUGCAAUGGCAACCAACAAUGAUGACAUCAUUGUCGCGCUUUACGCCAAAUUCAAUGUUAACUAGAGCAUGAGCAGUCCGAAUCGUUUGGUGUUCCGGUCUCAGCUAGUUUGUCUAAUCCUUUUGACGUUAAGGAUGACGUGUCAUGCACCGGUGACAAUGCUACACCUAUAUCGAAUGCAGUUGGAAGCAAUAAUUGAUUUAAAACCCUUACCGUCAACUUUUCAACUUCAAGAUUUUGGUAUUGAGUUGAUUUGGUGCUAAUAUUGGUAUUACUACUUUUGUCGUGGCUCCCUCAACAUAUGACAAAUUUUGUUCAUUUACACAACAAAUUAAAUAUAGCCAUUAAAUCAAUUGGUGGAGGUUAAUGGGAAUUGAAGAUUUCUUAAGACGAAGGAGAUUUCGAAACUUCAUGUUUUUAAUUUAUUUUUAGUUUUUGUCAAAAAUUUAUGUAUUAACAAAAAAAUAAUAAUAUAAGUAACUUUCUUCAGCCUGGGAACCGUAGUAAUAUUGAGUGCCAUAGAGCAACUCGUAC